GCGGUUUCCACUGCAGAUGUGUAGUAACAUAUCGGAAUCGUUGGACGCUGCGGAUCCUCGUCAAGGAAACAACGACUGUGGGUGUGACCGUUUGCUCAGCUGGUCCUCUUCUCCUCUCCCAGGGCCGUCAAUGUCAAAGCAUGAGUCCCCUCCCCUCUGCAUGACUGGCCCUCACUGACAAGUGGAAAUCACAGAGAUCCUGCUGGCAAAAGAUGGAGAGUGGAGAAGACUUCAGAGACGUGUACCCUACAGCUAUCAGUGUCCUGAACUCCAGAAUGAAGACACCAGGCACAUCUUCUCUGCUACAUGCUGCAACAACCGAGAUCAUGCUCACCAAAAAAUUUAAAGGAGGGGGGGGGGUCACUUUUUUUUUUAACUUUCGAACAUAAAUAAAGGAUAGAAAAUAUGGGAGAGAGGGAGGUUUACUUUGCCAAAAGGGACCUUGGGUUUUGCCCUGUGGGCAUGGCAGCUUUCAUUUUCCUCUUUCCUCCUUUCAUAUUCCCAGUCGGUUUCCGGAGUUAUGAUUGAGUUUCACAUAUUGGAGUUAUAUCUGGCAGCCAGACUUGUUUAUCUGCUGGGGCUGAUAACUGCACCGGCCUGAGUAUGAAGCAGAAAGCAAGGGGAGGGAGUGAGAGAGUGGGAGGGAGAUACAGACAGAAAGACCACUCAUAUAUUCUCACCUCCUCUAGUCUUUUCUCAUUGAUUUAGCGUGUCUUCAUCAACAGUCUGACCCAGGUGCAGCUUUUUUUCUUUAUCGCACUCUCCAGCUUAGACCUCUGGCGCGGACUCGGCGGGAGCACCCGUCUAGCGCGCGUCAGUCAAAGCAGCUGGAAGUGGAGUAAACAGGACCCGGGACAUAAUUUAUCAGGACAUGGACACAAUAUUAAAAAUGUUGCAUGGAUUUGUUAUCAAAAAUCUGUUGUUGUGGAGAUUGAAAAAGUUAGACUUAAUAAUAUACUGUCUCUCAGGUAUCCAGUUAUUGCUAAUGUGAUUUAAACAGAUAUUACUCAAGUCGAGGGGCCAGAGGGAAGAAUUUAGGCUAUUAACACUAUAGCGAAGUUAUGGAUGACAGAGGGCAACGCACAAUUUUGCUCAGUUAUAAUCUCACUAAAACUUCAGUGUCACAACACCUUGGAGACAGAGCCUGUCAAGGACUGGCUGUGGACUCCAGUGGAAAGGAAAAUGAGACAAAGAGAUUUCGGGAGAGGUCGAGAAAGGGGGAGACAGAGCAAAGAGAGGACUGAGGGAAAGCGAAAGAGAGAGAGAGCAAGCAGUGCUUGCUGGACCCUGACUGCGUGCGAGGCCUCAAUUAUUCAUGCGGCAGUGCACAUGUCAAGAGCCCACAGACAAGCACAACAGCAAGGCCGAGCGCAAAUCAAACAGCGCAUCCGUGGGCAAUGCCCACAAUGCACCUGGAGGAACACACCUCGGUGCAUUUCUCUGUUGUUCUUGGAUAAACAGAGAACAAGGCUACCUGAGCACUGCCUGAUUCUCCUCAAGAGCCAAGAGCUCCUGGAAUAGUCUUUCUUUGUUUUUUUGUUUUUUUUUAUAUUUACUUGCGUCUUUUUUGGCAGAGGUGUUGGUGCCAGUGGGUUCCUUCUUUUCAUGGCUCAUUAGCACCGUUUCGUUCACUUUAUUUCUCUGAACUAGCUAUUAUGUCCUCUGUGUUGCCUCUCUUUGCUGGUCCCCAACAUGUCUACAUUAACUACUGCCGAGGUUUGUCUCCUCAAUUGCUGGAGGUUAGCGGAUGGCUGCAAACUUCCAUUCUCAUCUUGUCUAUCGACCAGCACCUUGCUGUUUUUUCCUAUUUUUGCUCUCUUUAUACUCCCGAGCCUGUUCCCGACACAUUUCUUUCUCAAUAUUACAAAAAAAGACAUGCAGCACAUAAAUUGCAGCUAAUCCUUAGCUAGUCCAAACCUUACUGCUUCAUUCAAGAGCAGUAGACUGCAUGUUGAUGACAAUGUGUAAAAAGAGUGUAAUUGUCGAACCGUCUUAAAAUAGCCUGAUCGGCAAACAAAAUUACUUACCUGUUAUUUUUGCAAAUUGAUUCACAACAAUCAGUAUAACUGCAUUGACGUCAGCCGAGCUUGUUUCCAGCUUUUAUCAUAGAAAUGAUGAUGAUGUUUCUGUGAGCCGUCCUAACAAGGCAGGAUCGGCUAAUUUUUCCAUGAAUAGAAAUCAUUUCAAUCACUGAAAAAAUAAACCGAUGGUUGUAAAGUUGUGGUUGUUAAGGUGCUAUCAUUUUCUUGAUAUUUGAAUUAUCACACUUUCGUUUGUUUAAUUUCAAUUUUGUGGCCAAUUUCAUAUUAGCUGUCUUCUGUUGUUGUCUACAAAUCAUUGCCAUUGCUCCCUUUCUCAGCCUGACACUUGAAAUAAGGUUUUUAAAUGGAAUAAGGCUUUCUAAAUUCAAAUAAGGGUAAAAUACUCAGUAAUUUAGAGAUCUGUGACCAAAUUUAAAAUACUUAAAAUAAUAUAUAUUUAGUUUUUUACCACUCUUUUAAUUUGAUGUGUACUCUUGUCAAUAAGGGUUCGCAGCAAACCUAAAGCUCUGAUCCACCACUACUUUUACCCAAGGAUCGUCCUUUGAGUGCCCUUUCUGAUUGGCUCCCUGCUGACAUUUUCCCACAUCCUCAGGAGAACUGUGGAGCCAGACAGCAGGCAAUGUGUUGUGUGUGCAAAGAGGGGCUCUUAUCAAUGAGAAGGUUUAUUUUCAGCCUUUUUUUCUCAUAACCAUUCUUUUGAGAAAUGUGUAGAUAUACAGUAUAUCAUAACAGAAAUAAACAUAAAUACAACAUGUACUGCAUUCAUUUCAGAGAAAAUAGUCGGCCUAUCUUUUGUCAAUUUUGAUUUUACUGGGAAUUUCUCGUCUGCUUGCCUUCUUUGUUUUCUUGGUCAUGCAACAUUCAUAUAUUUUCAUGGGUGAAAUGCCCUUUUGUUUUUAGAGUGUCAACGGCACCAAAAUGACACUUCAGAAGAGGACUGUGAGGAUGCAAACACUUACCACAGGUACCACCAGGGAUUUCUUCUCUUAUAUUAUACGUUUACCUGUAAAACAAGUGUCACAAGACAAUGCCUGCAAUAGGCUCCUGUGUUUGCAAUAAAGCCACAAAGGAGCCCUGUCA
Molecule: long non-coding RNA, 3122 nt
Organism: Gasterosteus aculeatus aculeatus (three-spined stickleback)
Lineage: Eukaryota; Metazoa; Chordata; Actinopteri; Perciformes; Gasterosteidae
Source: Ensembl